AGAGUUUGAUCAUGGCUCAGGAUGAACGCUGGCGGCGUGCCUAAUACAUGCAAGUCGAGCGGUAAGGCUCCUUCGGGAGUACACGAGCGGCGGACGGCUGAGUAACGCGUAGGAACGUACCCCAAACUGAGGGAUAACUGCUCGAAAGAGUAGCUAAUACCGCAUGUGCUCUACGGAGUAAAGCUACGGCGGUUUGGGAACGGCCUGCGUACGAUUAGAUUGUUGGUGAGGUAAUGGCUCACCAAGUCGACGAUCGUUAGCUGGUCUGAGAGGAUGAUCAGCCAGACUGGGACUGAGAACGGCCCAGACUCCUACGGGAGGCAGCAGUAGGGAAUUUUCCACAAUGGACGAAAGUCUGAUGGAGCAACGCCGCGUGCAGGAUGAAUGCCUUCGGGUUGUAAACUGCUUUUAUCUGUGACGAAUAUGACGGUAGCAGAUGAAUAAGGAUCGGCUAACUCCGUGCCAGCAGCCGCGGUCAUACGGAGGAUCCAAGCGUUAUCCGGAAUUACUGGGCGUAAAGAGUUGCGUAGGUGGCAGAGUAUGUCUGUAGUGAAAGCGUGUGGCUCAACCAUAUACACAUUACAGAAACUGCUCAGCUAGAGGGCGAGAGAGGUUACUAGAAUUCCUAGUGUAGGAGUGAAAUCCGUAGAUAUUAGGAGGAAUACCGAUGGCGUANGCAGGUAACUGGCUCGUCCCUGACACUAAGGCACGAAAGCGUGGGUAGCAAACGGGAUUAGAUACCCCGGUAGU
RNAcentral lists this ribosomal RNA (750 nucleotides) under uncultured bacterium. RNAcentral's name for it is "bacterial SSU rRNA". It matches the Rfam family "Bacterial small subunit ribosomal RNA", at positions 8 to 794 of the family's 1533-position model. The record is from RNAcentral.